GCUAGGAUAGCUCAGUUGGAAGAGCAUGAGACUCUCAAUCUCAGGGUUGUGGGUUCAAGUCCCAUGUGGGGCA
Podarcis raffonei (Aeolian wall lizard) is the source of this 73-nucleotide non-coding RNA. The record is from the annotation of a RefSeq genome assembly. Lineage: Eukaryota; Metazoa; Chordata; Lepidosauria; Squamata; Lacertidae.